Molecule: non-coding RNA, 461 nt
Organism: Musa acuminata subsp. malaccensis (wild Malaysian banana)
Lineage: Eukaryota; Viridiplantae; Streptophyta; Magnoliopsida; Zingiberales; Musaceae
Source: RefSeq, a predicted model, not a curated record
CUUACUUCGUGCGCCUGGAUUCCUUCUUAAAGCUUCGAUCCCUUGUCGGCGUAGCUGUCCAAUUUCCCUUGGCCAUGGAGACGACGACCACGAUCCUCCUCGCCGCUACCGAGGUCGAGGAGGAGUUCUUUGAGGUGCUGGGUGCCCGCCACCACCAUGGUCUUUCGACAGAUGUAGUUCCAGGAUCUGCCGGCAUUAUCUUUGACGAGAAGCGGAAAUGAUUGAAAGAGCGAAAGCAAGUCGUAAAUAUCAGAGUCGAGCACUUCUUUCAAAGGAAGGAGCAAGGUUUUGACCAUCGGACAUUAUAUAACACAAGAAACACAAAGAAGAUGGAUCACUGGAACAAAAAGGACUUCUUGAAGGCACAAUUAAUCAUUGUUUUUUUUUUUUUUUUGGAUUAUCAAGGAUGAUGAUUGGAUCAUAUUUGAAUAAAUAGCAAGAACACAUCUUCACUUUGUGUA